AAACUAUUUUUUUAUUUCUCUCCUCUCUCCUCUCUUGUUUUCUCCGAAGCUCGACUUCGGCGGAUCAAAUUCUUCAUCGUCUCUUUUCUUAACAUGUCUCUCUUCUCAUUAUCUUAUCACGAUCCACAAGAUUCGUGAUCGAAGAGGUGUCGAAAAAUCCACCGGAAGAGCUACUCUUACCGGCUUUGCUGAGGUCAACGAUGUGACGAUGUUUUUCGGUGGCUUGGUUAGAAUGUUGAUGCUCAUAGGAUCCUGCUUGUGGGUUCGUCUGCUGUGAUGGUCUGAUAAGAUGAGAAUGGAGUAAGAAGAGUAGCAUAAUUUUGGUCGAGGUUACUUGGAGCAGUUGCAGCAAUGGGUUUUGGUCGAAGUUACUUGGAUCGAUUGCAUUACUUGUAUAAAAGAGACCACAUGUUUUACGUCACCACAAGUUUGUACUUUGGUUUGAAUGCUUGUACACCACAAAAUUAUAUUCCGAACACUAGUUCUUAUUGUGUAUUCUAUGACAUUACUUGUAUGCUAAACAAUAAUUUUAUUUUCAUUGUUCU
Molecule: non-coding RNA, 545 nt
Organism: Arabidopsis thaliana (thale cress)
Lineage: Eukaryota; Viridiplantae; Streptophyta; Magnoliopsida; Brassicales; Brassicaceae
Source: RefSeq